RNAcentral lists this unclassified non-coding RNA (301 nucleotides) under uncultured fungus. RNAcentral describes it as "partial contains 5.8S ribosomal RNA, internal transcribed spacer 2, and large subunit ribosomal RNA". Lineage: Eukaryota; Fungi. The record is from RNAcentral.
AACGCACAUUGCGCCCAUUAGUAUUCUAUUGGGCAUGCCUGUUCGAGCGUCAUUUCAACCCUUAAGCUCAGCUUAGUGUUGGGAAUCUACCGUGAGCGGUGCUACCUGGUACCUACCCUGUAACGGGCGUAGGCUACCCUGUAGCUACCCUGUAGUUCCUCAAAUUCAACGGCGGGGUUAUAGUCAUCUCUGAGCGCAGUAAUUUUUAUCACGCUUUUGAAGGUGCUAUAGCCCUCGCCGCUAAACCCCCAAAUUUUUAAUGGUUGACCUCGGAUCAGGUAGGAAUACCCGCUGAACUUAA